AAGUUAUUUGGCCGAGGACCAGGCAGAUAUUUUGAAAGUAUCUUACAGGGGUUUAAAUCCCCUAAUAAUUUG
RNAcentral lists this transfer RNA (72 nucleotides) under Squilla biformis. Its description in RNAcentral is "tRNA-Ser". It matches the Rfam family "tRNA". Rfam says of the family: Transfer RNA (tRNA) molecules are approximately 80 nucleotides in length. Their secondary structure includes four short double-helical elements and three loops (D, anti-codon, and T loops). Lineage: Eukaryota; Metazoa; Arthropoda; Malacostraca; Stomatopoda; Squillidae. The record is from RNAcentral.